RNAcentral lists this microRNA (22 nucleotides) under Pongo abelii (Sumatran orangutan). RNAcentral's name for it is "Pab-Mir-430-P20_5p (mature (guide))". RNAcentral also lists the same sequence under 1 other name. Lineage: Eukaryota; Metazoa; Chordata; Mammalia; Primates; Hominidae. The record is from RNAcentral.
CUCCAGAGGGAUGCACUUUCUC